ACGACCUUACUUGAACAGGAUCUGUUCUAUAGGCUCGUACCAUUGUAUCCUUAAAUUCUAAGGAGACAGGAAUUCUAGUCUGGUUGAUGAAGCAUGGCCAUGUGACCAGAGCGUGAUUAAUGCCUUCCAUAGCUCCUCGAGCCGUGGAUGCAGUUGAUGAUCGUUCUUAGACCUGAUUUUCAGACCUAGGAUGGUCUCGUGGCUGUCUGACAGACU
This 216-nucleotide small nucleolar RNA is filed under the name Solanum lycopersicum (tomato). RNAcentral describes it as "Plant small nucleolar RNA U3". It matches the Rfam family "Plant small nucleolar RNA U3". From Rfam's summary of the family: Small nucleolar RNAs (snoRNAs) are involved in the processing and modification of rRNA in the nucleolus. There are two main classes of snoRNAs: the box C/D class, and the box H/ACA class. Lineage: Eukaryota; Viridiplantae; Streptophyta; Magnoliopsida; Solanales; Solanaceae. The record is from Rfam by way of RNAcentral.